AGAACGAACGCUGGCGGCAUGCCUAAUACAUGCAAGUCGAACGAACACUUCGGUGUUAGUGGCGCACGGGUGCGUAACGCGUGGGAAUCUGCCCUUGGGUUCGGAAUAACAGUUGGAAACGACUGCUAAUACCGGAUGAUAUCGAAAGAUCAAAGAUUUAUCGCCCAGGGAUGAGCCCGCGUAGGAUUAGCUAGUUGGUGAGGUAAAGGCUCACCAAGGCGACGAUCCUUAGCUGGUCUGAGAGGAUGAUCAGCCACACUGGGACUGAGACACCGGCCCAGACUCCGUACGGGAGGCAGCAGGUAGGGAAUAGUU
Molecule: ribosomal RNA, 315 nt
Filed under: uncultured soil bacterium
Lineage: Bacteria
Description: bacterial SSU rRNA
Rfam family: Bacterial small subunit ribosomal RNA
Source: RNAcentral